AUGGGCUCGGGUUAGCACAUUAUGCUAUACGUUUGCGAUACUGAGUCUCGCCUAUGUCUCUGGUUCAGCCGUGAUAAGUCUUCGUUUUUCAAACAUUCGUUACAGGGUCACGUUCAGAACUACUGGAAUACCUCUACUUGGUGUUGCAGCCAAGAAGCAUGACAGCCUUUCUUUGACGGGAUGAGUAGGAGUGCCAGCUUUUAUGCCAAGAAAAGAAAAGCUAAAUCUUAACGCUAAUUGAUGAGAAAAGGGACCCUAGCAUCUAGCACAUACACGCGUGUAGAAUAUCCUGAAUACGUAUUUACUUCCAAAUCGUCUUCUUCGGCCAGAGAGUAUUUCCAUGUAGUACUGAUUAGGGAUCAAUAGGCAUAUCAGAAUUCAUCACACGUUAUACCGGUGAAACGCUGUGAUAAUAUGAUAGGGGGCUCACUAAUUCUUUCGAUUCGUUAGAAAUUUGGAAAAUCUUGCAAGCCGACGCAAAGAUAUUACGGCCAACCGGUUCUUUUACGAACAAGUUUAUCGCUAGAACUGACCGUGACUGGCUUUGACCUGAAAUGUUCUCUCCUUUAUGUAAGCUAAUCUUCUAGUACUUUUUUCUUCUGCACUGCACGUUUCGGGAUAGUGCAUCGACUGGUUUAUGUUAUCAUGGUGCAGGUUUUCUAGUCGUACGAUCUUAGGGAAAACCUCUUUAAACGCCGUGUUGCACUUUGUACAUUCGUUGCAUUUUCAUGCUUGAGUCCAGCGAGUUGAGAUGGAUAUUGUAUUGUUAUAUAUAAUAUCGACAUCGGGAGCUUCUGUCCACAUGCCUGUUUAAAACUUGGAAGACAACUGCUUCAAAAUCGACUGUCCUCCUUCUUGAUGUUCUUAACUUGUGUCGCAUUGUUAUAUUGAAAAAGGUUAGUGAAAUAAUGAAGCAGUGUUUAUAUGCGCCAGUUGUGGUGCUGCACGAUGAGUUAACACUUAGUAGACUAACAGUACGAUGGGCGUAUUUGUCUUCAAAAAAGUCUUCAUAAGCGAUUGAAGGGCUAACGGAAAUUGAGUGCUAAAGAUGCUGGAGCCUGCCACCUGACGAUACUAUAGACAGCUCGUAUUGCCCAAUAGCUUCUUCAAUUUCAAAUAAAAAUCAGGGUCCUAGUGGCAUUCACAGUGUGUGGGGGACCAAGUGAACAGAAUUUUCCAUUUUUCAACCCGGUCGCCCUUGGCUUCAAAGCGAUCAAGCCACCCGUCUACGCGGCUCUUGGGUAGAUGUAAAUGCGCAGGCCGUUUCCGCCGCCGAAUUAAGCGCAGUCAACAUACCCAAUAUACUAGUUCUCAAAAUGAUUAGUGUGAGCUCUGGCCCGCCGUUAAAGUGCGACCUUAUGCGAGAAUUGGAAUCUUUAGUAAGCCUUUAGAAUAGGCGUGCCCUAACAAACAUUUUUUAGCCUGCUCUUAUCAUUUAGUUAUCCAUCUUUCAUAAGAAUAGGCCGUCGUUUUUGUCCGAUGGCCUCGAAUUAAGGCCGGCUCGCGCAUCGAGUUGACCAAAAUUCGAAUUUGCAAAGACAAGGAAGUAAUUGUUCUCCCAGAUCCGUAGUUGUCGGUGCAAUCUAAAUUCGUCCUUAUAAGGCAUCCAACUAACUGCGUAGAUCCGUAUGCCAACUGCAAGCAGUAAAGCCUUCAUUGGCUGUAAUACUCUGCAGUGUUGUAAGGCUCUAACUGAUUAAAGAGGACAGAUUGCAUUUAUGACUAAUUAUCAGUAUAAUAAAAUUUCUAAUUGAAUGCAAGCUAUCGUAAAAUGACAAUAAUCUGUUUGCCUAAAAACCGUAUUCCUGUUUCUCUAUAAACAUUUUUUUUUAAUUUUUUGGGGAGGACACAUUUUUUGGCAUUGAAAUUUACCACUUUCCCAUAAAUGUAAUUGCAAAGUUGGUUCACGAUGCAUAAUACGUAUAGAGAGCUUCUAGAUCCCAUCGUCAGGAUGAAUGCUCAGCGUGAAAGGUCUGCUCGUUUUAGGUUGGAAACCAGCCGACAACGCACAGAACAGCAAUGUUCUCACCUUCAGAUAUAAGGUAGGCUUGAGCCUGCGUUGUUUACCGUAAUCCAGAGUUUUUUAAACUAUGCUUCUAUAGCUUCUAUGCUGCUCAGCUCUCUUAGGUUCUGAAUAGACAAAAGGCGAAUCGGUCCGAAAGCAAGCUUAUAUGAGUGACUUAUAAACUGUAGUAAACUAGGAGCUGAAAGAGUAAUAGCCAACUGAAACAAUAUGUCGUUCAGCAGGAAUAAGUAUCUAUAGAGUAAUUUCGUCCAGAGUAGACGUUCCGGUUGUUUGAACUUCUUCUGAAGCAGAGGCUUCUGUCCGCAGAACAGCCCAAGGUUUGAUCCAUCAGGUUUCGAUGGGUGGCCCUGUGGGCCAUGAUUACAUGCAGGUCUCGAAAUGUACGAAAAGUUCGUUUGUUAAUUGAAAGAAUUAGAGCUUCUAAACGAUCUUGGUCAAACGUUAAAAUAGUAAUUAUGCGCUUCUAUGAAAGAAAAUAGUUCAUCAAAAGUGUUUUAAUUGGAUUAUUAAAAAAAAAUUAUACGAAUUAUUAUUAUUCUUUUAAAAUGGUCUACGCUUGUAGAACGUGUUUUGAUGCCUUCCGAUUUAACUGGCACAUCUCUUAUGUUGUGAAUUGGCCUUACAUUCACUUUCAUCUCAACUAGUGACGGUUCUUGUUCCGCGAAAAUAAUCCUAUCAUAUUUAAAACUGUGUAUGUCUAAUAUAAUUCAAUUAACUUCCUUAAGUUGUGGAUGCUUAUUUGCCGUCAUUAAAGAGCGAGUAGGUAAUGUCUUACAGCAACGAGGUGCCGCUAGGCACGGAAAUUUGCAUUUGAGGGUAAGUACCGAUAGAGUUUGACAAAGAGCUUAAGUUAUAUACAUAUAUCGCAUUUUCGUUAUACUUGUCUUUGUGUAUCUAAUUUCUCAAUUAUGUCAUUAGAAUUUGGUCAGUUCAAGUUCUUCGUAAAAAAAAAAAUUAAUACUCUGGUGCUUUGCCAAGUUUGUCGGAAACGUUUUCGCGGUACAUAUUUAUCAACGGAUAAAUAUCUGUAUACAUUUAAGUAAAAAUAUUUUUAACAUGUUUAAAUCGUACUUUCAAAAAUACUGUGGUUUAAAUUACUAGUCAGAAUAGUAUCCUUGAGCACAUAUUUCGAUAGAUAUUGACCGGUUUUUAGGUUGUUGUCGAAAGUAUCGACUUCGUCUGUGGACUUUCCCUGGUACUCAACGAUAAGGCCAAAGCGCGCCCUCCAGCCUUCUAUAGAAGCAAUUAUUUGCCGUCCUUGUUUUCUAAGGCCAAAACGAUGAUCCUUCGAACAGAACUGCUGGUGCAGUUGCUGUGGUAACCAUCGAGAGAAACUGUCUUCCCGUUGAUAUAGUUGCUUCCGUUCAGAAUUCCAAGGUUGAUCCAGAUGCAAAUUCUGUAUGUAAAAAUGAUGCGGAAGCACGUCGGUGCGAACCCUGCUCUCUGCAACGUAUCAGGGCACCUGACCCUAGAUAUGUCCACCACGAAUAAUUCAAUGGCCUUCAACCGUGUUUCAAAUCGCAAUACGUUGGCCUACAAGUUUUUAUUGAUAAUAAGUGGAUUUAUUGUCAUGUUUUUAUAUUUUAUAGCAUGACUAGGCAGGCAAGUGUCAACUUAUUUAGGCAACUUACCUCUCGUUUGUGAGUUGUAUGUGUGGCCAUAAGGUAUAUGUGCUAUUGGGCCAGUCACUCCAGACGCGGCGCAGAUUAUUUAAGGCAAACGAAAACAAGAACUGCAAUCUAUUCGAAACUUCUUAUCAUUAACUUUUUUGAACUAAUCAGCAUAUUUUUAAUUACGCUUCUUUGGACUUUCCAUUUAUCUAUUGCUAGAGUUGGGCACAAAAAAUACAGAUGCAGGAAUUGUCACGGAGCUUCGAACGUGUUUCCUUGACCGUCUUAUCACUGAUUCUUUUGAAUACUGGAAAGUCUGCAGUGUUUCGAUUCCGUCUAUUUAGUAUUAUAAUAAAAAAAAAAAAAAAGCUUUGGAGGCUUCUAGAAACAGCUACUAGCUCCGUUGUAUGUGCGUACGUUUCGCUAGUUUGACUCGUUUCCAGAGAAAUGAAACUUUACCAAGUUCAAUGCCGAUGCGUUAGUUCGAAGUUAGUCAGCGAUACAAAAAAAAAAAAAGACGGAAGCCAAUGGUACCAGCGUUUAGAAAAGACUUAACGAACCAGUUAAGAUCCUCGAACGAGCCGUGCAACAGCGCUAUGUUACACGCUGGCGCAGGCUGGUCGGGCCUAGACGGGCCAAUUUCCAAAUGCGGCCCAUGUAGUCUCCGUCUUCAGUUCAUCCAGUUUCAUUGUUAACAGUGUCCCAGGAGGUGGACAGUGCAAUCACUAUGCAACAUAGGUACAUCUGAAGGAUUCAUUGUCCUCUGGCAAACUGAUCUCACCCCAGGGUUGUUGGUCCACUCCCUGACAUUUUUUUACCGUCGCAUAACGGACCGAUCGGACGCUAAGACAAUCACUGACCAGACGUCGUCGCAAGACCGUGAAGCCGCUGCACAUACCUCGGUACUCA
Varroa destructor (honeybee mite) is the source of this 4545-nucleotide long non-coding RNA. NCBI's taxonomy places the organism in Eukaryota, Metazoa, Arthropoda, Arachnida, Mesostigmata, Varroidae. The record is from RefSeq and is a predicted model, not a curated record.